GGUAUUCUGCAUGGCACAGACGAUGUCUUCUGUGGAAAAUUCAAGACGAUGUAUUUCCAUUCAGCUGUUACUAAAAAGCUGUAGUGCUUUUGGUUUGCCAAUCCAAGUUUCCUGGCCAAUGCACCAAUUAAUGUAGUGGGUCUAGUGCUGGCCAAACGCCAGUGCACCUACCAGAAUUAUUUACUCAUUUUCUGCUGUGAGAUAAGGAUUAAGAGGAGAGCAAAGCAGGGCCAAAAUGUUAAAGGGUAUAAAGAAAACUUUAUUAACUAAAAGAAAAAUAAUAAGAAUUCAGAAUAAUCCUUAAGAACAGUUCUCUUCCCCCUAACUCCUCUUUUUUCACUGAAAACAUAAAAAGAAAAAAUUUGGUAUUUUCAGUCAGUUUACCACUUUUAAAAUAAUCUUUCCUUAGUUCACUUAGGGAGAGGAGUCUCUUCUACCAUGCCAUGGAGAUUUUUCCACAAGAAACAGUUCUCUCAUGGUUUUAAUUUUCACGAAUAGCAGCCACCCAGAAAUCUGCAAUCACAAAGUACCUCCCAUGGUUUGGCAAUCUUCCCACAACUACAACCAUGGGGCUUCUCAGUUUAUUGGUGUGCAAUUUUAAGGAUAAACCGUUCUAGUAAAGAAACAAAAGUUCUUUUAUCUCUGGGAACAGAGGUUUUCUUUGUCCAUCCCUGGGGCAAGGUUUCUCAUCUCUCUCAUCUCUCUCUUCAAGCUUCUCAAUGGAUCACAGCUAUUCAACAUCUGCUUGCUUCAACACAAGUGCCUCUGCUCAUGGCUGGGGUUAGAAUGAUACAUGCCCCAGUGCAUUCCACAAGUUACAGGGGAAAACCAAAAUAAUCUGAUGUAUCAAUUAUAACUUCCCCAUAGCCUUACAAAAGAAUAUCAGCCCAAGACUAAGGCAUCUCCUCAUCCUCCUGCCAUCUGGGAUUUGACUCCUUCUUCACCGACCUUGGUGUCUCCAGGUUGUUUUCUUUAUAUGUCUUCACCCUGUCAUUUUUAUCUCACUAGAGAGGAUUGAUGUCUGCAAGUUUUUUCUGUGCACUAGAAGAGCCAGUAUCUCUCCCGGGCCUGCGGAUGUCCGUGUGAUCUCUGCCGGGCAGGGCCGCCCGGGCUGCACGGCUGUGUCCGGCCCUGCCGCGGUCAAUCCCAGCUGCUUUCAGCUCCAGGCUGCCGGGCUGCCUCUCUUCUCAGCCCUGGGGUUUGCCACGGGGCCAGCAGGGCGGCUCGGCAGCUCCCGGCCCGGCUCUGGGCCGUGGUUGGAGCUCUGUGGCAGCAAAGCAGGGCCCGGCCUGGCCAGCGACCUGUUCCGAGGCCGGGAGCGAGAGAGUUUUCCCGGGGCUUGUUCGUCUUGGGUCCUCCCUGUGGCAGAUUUAGAGACCUCAGAAUAG
This is a long non-coding RNA of Cyanistes caeruleus (blue tit), 1388 nucleotides long. NCBI's taxonomy places the organism in Eukaryota, Metazoa, Chordata, Aves, Passeriformes, Paridae. The record is from Ensembl.